CAAAUUUGUUACAAAAAUGCCAACGAAGGUUAAUCUCGGGUAAUCUAAUUCCGUUUCCUGGUGUUUUCUUUUUUCUUUUUUUCUUCCACUCGGCUCCACCUACAGAGAGGCCCAACAGGGGGCUCGCGCGCUCGUUUGGGCUCGGCGGCCGGAGAAGACCGGCGCACUGGGCCGAAGCCGCUCCGCCAAGGUUGGGUCGUGGCUGCCGGGACUCGUCGCCAGAAGGCCUCCUGGGCCGCCCUUCCGCUCUCCCGGGGCUGGGCGGCGCUGUCUGGCUCUUCCUGCCGCGCUCCGGCCACUCCCCCACCGCCCCUCGCUUGGCCCAGCCGUGGCUGCCGUGCUCUGCACGCAGUGCCUCCCUCGGGCGUGGGUCUGCAGGAGACCCAGACAGGGCAGCGGCCGGCACUACCGCGCCGCGAUUUGCACAGAGUUGAAGAAGACCCUGACCAUUGAAGAGGUGGCCCCCCGCCCCGUCGGGCUCACGAGAGAAAUUGAAAUUGUUUUAGUGAUGGCAGCAGCUGGAGCCACAGGCCUUGCGGUGAUGUGA
Long non-coding RNA from Cercocebus atys (sooty mangabey), 547 nucleotides. Lineage: Eukaryota; Metazoa; Chordata; Mammalia; Primates; Cercopithecidae. The record is from Ensembl.